CUAUUGGGUAGCAAUAUUCGGUAGUGGGAGUGGCGCAAGGGUGCGUAACACGUGGGUAAUUUGCCGUAAAGUCUGGGAUAACUUGCUGAAAGGCGAGCUAAUACCGGAUGUGAUUGCUGGAGGGCAUCCUCUGGCACUUAAAGUCGGGGACCGUAAGGCCUGACGCUUUUCGAUAAGCCCGCGGCCUAUCAGCUAGUUGGUGAGGUAACGGCUCACCAAGGCUAAGACGGGUAGCUGGUCUGAGAGGACGACCAGCCUCACUGGAACUGAGACACGGUCCAGACACCUACGGGUGGCAGCAGUCGAGAAUUUUUCUCAAUGGGGGAAACCCUGAAGGAGCGACGCCGCGUGGGGGAUGAAUGGCUUCGGCCCGUAAACCCCUGUCAUUUGCGAUCAAACCUUACGACCUAACACGUUGUAAGCUGAUAGUAGCGAAAGAGGAAGGGACGGCUAACUCUGUGCCAGCAGCCGCGGUAAUACAGAGGUCCCAAGCGUUGUUCGGAUUCACUGGGCGUAAAGGGUGCGUAGGCGGUCGGGUAAGUCUGACGUGAAAUCUUCAAGCUCAACUUGGAAACUGCGUCGGAUACUAUUCGGCUAGAGGAAUGGAGGGGAGACUGGAAUACUUGGUGUAGCAGUGAAAUGCGUAGAUAUCAAGUGGAACACCAGUGGCGAAGGCGAGUCUCUGGACAUUUCCUGACGCUGAGGCACGAAAGCCAGGGGAGCAAACGGGAUUAGAUACCCCGGUAGUCCUGGCCCUAAACGGUGCACGUUUGCUGUAAGAGGAAUCGACCCCUUUCGUGGCGAAGCUAACGCGUUAAACGUGCCGCCUGGGAAGUACGGCCGCAAGGUUAAAACUCAAAGAAAUUGACGGGGGCCUGCACAAGCGGUGGAGUAUGUGGCUUAAUUCGAUGCAACGCG
This 918-nucleotide ribosomal RNA is filed under the name uncultured bacterium. RNAcentral describes it as "bacterial SSU rRNA". It matches the Rfam family "Bacterial small subunit ribosomal RNA", at positions 69 to 963 of the family's 1533-position model. The record is from RNAcentral.